AGAGUUUGAUUAUGGCUCAGAUUGAACGCUGGCGGCGUGCUUAACACAUGCAAGUCGUACGCGAAAGGGACUUCGGUCCCGAGUAAAGUGGCGCACGGGUGAGUAACACGUGGAUAAUCUGCCUCUAUGAUGGGGAUAACAGUUGGAAACGACUGCUAAUACCGAAUACGCUCAUGAUGAACUUUGUGAGGAAAGGUGGCCUCUGCUUGCAAGCUAUCGCAUAGAGAUGAGUCCGCGUCCCAUUAGCUAGUUGGUGGGGUAACGGCCUACCAAGGCAACGAUGGGUAGCCGAUCUGAGAGGAUGAUCGGCCACACUGGAACUGAAACACGGUCCAG
RNAcentral lists this ribosomal RNA (336 nucleotides) under uncultured bacterium. RNAcentral's name for it is "bacterial SSU rRNA". It matches the Rfam family "Bacterial small subunit ribosomal RNA", at positions 8 to 334 of the family's 1533-position model. The record is from RNAcentral.